GGCUCGGCGCCCUCUGCCGACCAGCCGCGGACCUUCGUCAGGAGCUCUGAGCUGGAGUGGCAGCUGCUGGGCAAGAAGAUGCAGGUUGGAGAGCCCCAGGCUGGCAGCGAUGAGGAGCAGUUCGUCGAUGUCACUGAGCUCGGGUCGUUCACGGAUAGCAUC
This 162-nucleotide non-coding RNA is filed under the name Kryptoperidinium triquetrum. The record is from RNAcentral. Lineage: Eukaryota; Dinophyceae; Peridiniales; Kryptoperidiniaceae.